RNAcentral lists this ribosomal RNA (484 nucleotides) under uncultured bacterium. RNAcentral's name for it is "partial 16S ribosomal RNA". It matches the Rfam family "Bacterial small subunit ribosomal RNA", at positions 30 to 507 of the family's 1533-position model. The record is from RNAcentral.
AUUGAACGCUGGCGGCAGGCCUAACACAUGCAAGUCGAGCGGAUGAAGGGAGCUUGCUCCUGGAUUCAGCGGCGGUCGGGUGAGUAAUGCCUAGGAAUCUGCCUGGUAGUGGGGGAUAACGUCCGGAAACGGGCGCUAAUACCGCAUACGUCCUGAGGGAGAAAGUGGGGGAUCUUCGGACCUCACGCUAUCAGAUGAGCCUAGGUCGGAUUAGCUAGUUGGUGGGGUAAAGGCCUACCAAGGCGACGAUCCGUAACUGGUCUGAGAGGAUGAUCAGUCACACUGGAACUGAGACACGGUCCAGACUCCUACGGGAGGCAGCAGUGGGGAAUAUUGGACAAUGGGCGAAAGCCUGAUCCAGCCAUGCCGCGUGUGUGAAGAAGGUCUUCGGAUUGUAAAGCACUUUAAGUCGGGAGGAAGGGCAGUAAGUUAAUACCUUGCUGUUUUGACGUUACCAACAGAAUAAGCACCGGCUAACUUCGUG